Molecule: long non-coding RNA, 654 nt
Filed under: Homo sapiens (human)
Lineage: Eukaryota; Metazoa; Chordata; Mammalia; Primates; Hominidae
Description: HSALNT0308463
Source: RNAcentral
GUUACACUCCCAUUUUUCCUAAGACAUGUUGUGCAUCUGCCAACUUGAUGCUCUCACACAUCCCACAAUGAUUUCUUUGGAAGAAUGCAAUGGCUGUUUUGAGAAUGAAGGUGAGACAUUUGCAGCUUUGAGAAUGGAAGUCACACGCUAAAGAUGAUGGAGCUGCAGCCCCCGAUGACUUUGUGUGCUGCAGCACCAGCCCUGAACUGCCCAUCUUUGGACUUUCCUUUCUAUGUUUGGCACGGCAUCUCAACUUGAUGUCUAUUUCUUCUUGUUCUCCUUCACCUCACAUGAACCUUCCAAGUCAUAAUUCUUUGGAAAUAGACACAAGGAGCUUUAUUUCAAAUUACCAUCCUUUACUUAAGAGGUUCCAUCUCUAAGCAUAUCAGCAAUCAUGGUGACGUGCCACUCUGCUGGUAAUUCAUAUGGCUUAUUCAGAAGCACAGAUCAUGGCUGUUAGACCUGCCAGAUGUUCCCGGUCCCUAGCUGCAAUUAAGUUCCAACAUAGCCCAAUUUGAAAGAGAUUGAGAAACCACAGUUCUCAUUAAGAAUAUUCAUGAGUUUGCACCUUGAAAAGCCAGCAAUCACAUGAUAUGCCAGAACGGACAAGAUCGUUUGAGAAGAGGAAAAAAAAAAAGAUGCAAUUUAAAAUAA